CUCCCUAUAGUUGAAGGAGCACGCCUGGAAAGUGUGUAUACGGCAACGUAUCGGGGGUUCGAAUCCCCCCCUCACCGCCA
This 80-nucleotide transfer RNA is filed under the name Escherichia coli. RNAcentral's name for it is "tRNA-Ser". The record is from RNAcentral. Lineage: Bacteria; Pseudomonadati; Pseudomonadota; Gammaproteobacteria; Enterobacterales; Enterobacteriaceae.